GACACUAUAGCUUAGUGGUUGAGCACACGAUUGCAAUUAAUCGUUAUCGUGCGGUCCCGUGUUCGACCCACGGUAGUGUCU
Molecule: non-coding RNA, 81 nt
Organism: Mycena sp. CBHHK59/15
Lineage: Eukaryota; Fungi; Basidiomycota; Agaricomycetes; Agaricales; Mycenaceae
Source: the annotation of a GenBank genome assembly